Pectinophora gossypiella (pink bollworm) is the source of this 713-nucleotide long non-coding RNA. RefSeq lists it as uncharacterized. The transcript has 3 exons. The record is from RefSeq and is a predicted model, not a curated record. NCBI's taxonomy places the organism in Eukaryota, Metazoa, Arthropoda, Insecta, Lepidoptera, Gelechiidae.
CUGACAUACUUGAAUUCGCGCCGAAUGCAACAGUUUUAUCUUCUCAGAAUUUAUACAAUAACAACAAUAACGAAAGAAAUAUCACCGAUUUACUACCUACUAGAUCUAGAGAGUCGGAGGCUAGACAUGGAGGAGCGACUUGUUUCAGCAGUUAACAAGCUGGCUGGCUACAGCUGCUGAAGCUAAUAGCAAGGCCGCGGAUAUGCAAACAGAGUUGCUUCGGCUGCUGCUGGAGGAAGCUAGGUGAAGACCAAUAUAAGGUUAAAGAAUAGCAGCAUGACGAUUCUCAAGAACGAAGACACUAGCGAAGAACGAAGAUACAAACUAAGUUAAAAUACUUAAGUAAAAACAUAUGUAUUCAAUAAACUUGUAUGUAAAUAUUUAAGCUAAAGUAUAAGUACUCCAUUUAUGUUAUUUAAGUGAAGUUGUAUUUAAUUUAAAUACUUAAGUUUGGUCAUGUUAUUUAAGUGAGUUUGUCUAGGGGUAACAUUAAAGUACAUUAAAGACAAAGCAACUAGAUAUCAUUUUACCAAGAACUAUUUUGAAACAAAAAUAAUAUAGCAUCACGCUUCUAUUCCCGAAAGGGUAAGCAGAGGUGUAUAGUAUAUGUAUACACCCACUCCUUGCCAACUACUAUCUAAUAAAAGGAUUUGUAUAGGUGUAUUGAUGAAGAUGUUGGAUGCAAUUAACUUAUAUUUCCAUAUUAUAGUAAG